CUCUGUGACUCCUACGGGAGGCAGCAGUGGGGAAUAUUGCACAAUGGGCGCAAGCCUGAUGCAGCCAUGCCGCGUGUGUGAAGAAGGCCUUCGGGUUGUAAAGCACUUUCAGUUGUGAGGAAGGUGGUGUCGUUAAUAGCGGCAUCAUUUGACGUUAGCAACAGAAGAAGCACCGGCUAACUCCGUGCCAGCAGCCGCGGUAAUACGGAGGGUGCGAGCGUUAAUCGGAAUUACUGGGCGUAAAGCGCAUGCAGGCGGCCUGUUAAGUCAGAUGUGAAAGCCCGGGGCUUAACCUCGGAAUUGCAUUUGAAACUGGCAGGCUAGAGUCUUGUAGAGGGGGUAGAAUUUCAGGUGUAGCGGUGAAAUGCGUAGAGAUCUGAAGGAAUACCAGUGGCGAAGGCGGCCCCCUGGACAAAGACUGACGCUCAGAUGCGAAAGCGUGGGGAGCAAACAGGAUUAGAUACCCUGGUGG
RNAcentral lists this ribosomal RNA (472 nucleotides) under uncultured bacterium. RNAcentral's name for it is "bacterial SSU rRNA". It matches the Rfam family "Bacterial small subunit ribosomal RNA", at positions 328 to 793 of the family's 1533-position model. The record is from RNAcentral.